CGCUUCUUUUUCCACCGGAGCUUGCUCCACCGGAAAAAGAGGAGUGGCGAACGGGUGAGUAACACGUGGGUAACCUGCCCAUCAGAAGGGGAUAACACUUGGAAACAGGUGCUAAUACCGUAUAACAAUCGAAACCGCAUGGUUUUGAUUUGAAAGGCGCUUUCGGGUGUCGCUGAUGGAUGGACCCGCGGUGCAUUAGCUAGUUGGUGAGGUAACGGCUCACCAAGGCGACGAUGCAUAGCCGACCUGAGAGGGUGAUCGGCCACAUUGGGACUGAGACACGGCCCAAACUCCUACGGGAGGCAGCAGUAGGGAAUCUUCGGCAAUGGACGAAAGUCUGACCGAGCAACGCCGCGUGAGUGAAGAAGGUUUUCGGAUCGUAAAACUCUGUUGUUAGAGAAGAACAAGGAUGAGAGUAACUGUUCAUCCCUUGACGGUAUCUAACCAGAAAGCCACGGCUAACUACGUGCCAGCAGCCGC
This 480-nucleotide ribosomal RNA is filed under the name Enterococcus hirae. Its description in RNAcentral is "bacterial SSU rRNA". It matches the Rfam family "Bacterial small subunit ribosomal RNA", at positions 67 to 518 of the family's 1533-position model. Lineage: Bacteria; Bacillati; Bacillota; Bacilli; Lactobacillales; Enterococcaceae. The record is from RNAcentral.